CUUGGAGCCGUGCCUGAAUUAUAGGGCCACUUUGAUAGAGUGAAACAUGAGGGUUAAAAUCCCUCCCGCUCCU
RNAcentral lists this transfer RNA (73 nucleotides) under Andinoacara biseriatus. Its description in RNAcentral is "tRNA-Ile". It matches the Rfam family "tRNA". From Rfam's summary of the family: Transfer RNA (tRNA) molecules are approximately 80 nucleotides in length. Their secondary structure includes four short double-helical elements and three loops (D, anti-codon, and T loops). The record is from RNAcentral. Lineage: Eukaryota; Metazoa; Chordata; Actinopteri; Cichliformes; Cichlidae.